Molecule: non-coding RNA, 74 nt
Organism: Acanthaster planci (crown-of-thorns starfish)
Lineage: Eukaryota; Metazoa; Echinodermata; Asteroidea; Valvatida; Acanthasteridae
Source: the annotation of a RefSeq genome assembly
CGCCUCAAAAGCUGACGGGUAAGCAAUUAAUCUUGUAAAUUAAAAGGCGAAGGUUCGAGUCCUUUUUGAGGCUU